GGCGAACUUGGGGCCGGCGGCCGCAGGAGGACGAAGGGGGCAGUCGUUACUGGGAAGUACUAGGCGUAAAGCGUGCGUAGGUGGUUGUUUAAGUCUGUCGUGAAAGCCCUGGGCUCAACCUGGGAACUGCGAUGGAAACUGGGCGACUAGAGUGUGGUAGAGGGUAGCGGAAUUCCUGGUGUAGCAGUGAAAUGCGUAGAUAUCAGGAGGAACAUCCAUGGCGAAGGCAGCUACCUGGGCCAACACUGACACUGAGGCACGAAAGCGUGGGGAGCAAACAGGAUUAGAUACCUUGUAGUC
Molecule: ribosomal RNA, 300 nt
Filed under: uncultured Methanococcus sp.
Lineage: Archaea; Methanobacteriati; Methanobacteriota; Methanococci; Methanococcales; Methanococcaceae
Description: bacterial SSU rRNA
Rfam family: Bacterial small subunit ribosomal RNA
Source: RNAcentral